This is a non-coding RNA of Heterocephalus glaber (naked mole-rat), 607 nucleotides long. The record is from RefSeq and is a predicted model, not a curated record. Lineage: Eukaryota; Metazoa; Chordata; Mammalia; Rodentia; Bathyergidae.
UCCGAUAACUCUAGGAGCACACCUGUGAGAAGCUUGGAGGCCUCCUAGCCCAAAGAGCCAACAUACAGAAAUGGAAACUGGGGCCCAGAGAGGCAAAGCAACCUUUCUAAGAUCACACAGCCUUUUGAGGAAUCAGUCAGAACAAGAGUUCAGCUCAUCUAGGUUACCUGCUCCCCGCUGCCCUGGCCGCACGAAGUCCAAGCAGAGACAGGUUUGGUGCAGGGCUCUGGGAGGACAAAGACACAUCACCCUUCUCUGGGAAGGAGAGGACAGCCUGGGAAGACAUUGAGACAGCCUGCUGUUCUGUACUCAGCCCAAGAGCCCCUGGCCGGUUCCAGCGGACCACAGUCAGCAGCCAUCUACCUCAGCGCGCCCUGCUACCUCCUCUUUCUGUAGGCAAUCACUGACCUGUUUUCUGUGUCUAUAGAUGAGUUUGCAUUUUAAGAAUUUUAUAUAUUUAGAAUGAUAAGCCUGUAUUCUUUUGCUUUCUUUUUCUUUUCCUGAUUUUUAUUUUUAUGUUAAGUGGAUCAUAGUUUGUUUCUUUUUAUUUGGUGAGUAGUAAUGGAUUGUGUGAAUAUAUUAUAAUUUGUAAAUCCAUCCUCCUGGU